AGUGAGGUCCUUUUUAAAAAAAGAUAAUAUUAAAAUAUGAAUAAAUUGGAAAUGCCUCAUAGACUAACUCUGCAGUUUCAUUUUACCCACAGGACCAUUGUUAGAUUUGUGGGAAAGAACUACAAGACAGUU
This is a small nucleolar RNA of Saimiri boliviensis boliviensis (Bolivian squirrel monkey), 132 nucleotides long. Lineage: Eukaryota; Metazoa; Chordata; Mammalia; Primates; Cebidae. The record is from Ensembl.